This 913-nucleotide ribosomal RNA is filed under the name uncultured archaeon. RNAcentral's name for it is "bacterial SSU rRNA". It matches the Rfam family "Archaeal small subunit ribosomal RNA", at positions 1 to 922 of the family's 1478-position model. The record is from RNAcentral.
UUCCGGUUGAUCCCGCCGGAGGCGACCGCUAUUGGAGUUCGAUUAAGCCAUGCGAGUCUAGAGGCUUAGGCCUCGGCGUACCGCUCAGUAACACGUGGAUAACCUGCCCUGUUCAGGGGGAUAACCUCGCGAAAGUGAGAAUAAUACCCCAUAGUUCACCAUGCCUGGAGCGGUUGGUGGAUGAAAGCUCUGGCGGAACAGGAUGGGUCUGCGGCGUAUCAGGUAGUAGGGGGUGUAAUGGACCUCCUAGCCCUCGACGCGUACGGGUUGUGGGAGCAAUCGCCCGGAGAUGGAUUCUGAGACACGAAUCCAGACCCUACGGGGUGCAGCAGGCGCGAAAACUUGACAAUGCGAGAAAUCGUGAUCAGGGAACUCCAAUUGUCCCCGUUUUUACGGGGUUCUGAAUUGACUCUAAACAGGUCGAGUAAUAGGGGCGGGAAAUAUCGGUGCCAGCCGCCGCGGUAAUACCGAAGCCCCAAGUGGUCGUCGUUCUUAUUGGGCCUAAAACGUCCGUAGCCGGUUUGGUACAUUCGUGGGUAAAUCAGACAGCUUAACUGUCUGAAUUCUGCGAGCACGGCCAAACUUGAGACCGGGAGAGGUGUAGGGUACCUGCGGGGUAGGGGUAAAAUCCUGUCAUCCCGUAGGGACCACCAGUUGCGAAGGCUCUACACUAGAACGGAUCUGACGGUCAGGGACGAAGCCUAGGGGCACGAACCGGAUUAGAUACCCGGGUAGUCCUAGGUGUAAACGCUGUGGACUUCGUGUCGGGAAUUCUUCGAGGAUUCUCGGUGCCGGAGUGAAGAUGUUAAGUCCACUGCCUGGGGAGUACGGUCGCAAGGCUGAAACUUAAAGGAAUUGGCGGGGGAGCACUGCAACGAGAGGAGCGUGCGGUUUAAUUGGAAUCAACGCCGGA